AGUCACUAAAGAAGCGUGAGAUGUGUUAGAACAGAUUGGUUAAGACCUGUUAAGUUCCUCAUCAUUUACAUAAUAUUACUACUUACUUAUAUGGCCCUUAAAGGUCUAGCUCCUGCAUACAUAACUAGUCUUAUAUCACGCUACAAUCCAACACACUCCCCAAGGUCGCAAAACUCUGGACUCUUGGUAGUACCUAGGUUAGCAAAGUCCACUAAAGGAGGUAGAGCUUUUUCGCAUUUGGCUCCCAAACUCUGGAACAGUCUUCCUGAUAAUAUUCGGGGUUCAGACACACUCUCUCUGUUUAAAUCUAGAUGAAAGACUCAUCUCUUUAGCCAAGCAUUCACAUAAUGUAUCUCAUAACCUUGAACUUCAGCUGUAUCUGAGCAAAUGCACAUUUUCAUUCUUUUGCUUGGGUUGAACAGACCAUCUUUGCUUGGUUGGAACAGCAGCUAGGCUAAUUCAAUCUCUAUUUGCUCCUCUGUUUCUGCCACGGGAUUUGCAUCCCAAGGUACCUAGGAAUUACAGAAGCUUCAGUCUGGAUCCAACCCUUACGAAGAUCUGAAAUGACCAAACACCUGAGAAUAGAUGAUUGCCAACCCCCCAGAAGACCUCAGUUGAUGCUAACCCUGGAACAACAUUUAAAACUACCAAAUUUUGAUUAAUCGCAAUCACAACAUAUAAUAAUCGCAGUUAAUAGCAUUCACUGUCUCUUGAUUACAUGUAAUUUGUAACUAACUGCACAUUUCUGCCAUAGUCACCACUAAUAACCUACUCCUAAAUAUAAUGUAGAAAAUGUUCUGCAAAGCUGCUUUGCAACGAUUUGUAUUGUGAAAGGUGCUAGACAAAUAAACUUGAAUUGGUUAUGUGGGAAUCUGCAGACCUUUUCACAAGAGGUUGGACACGUGUAGGAUUUUGUAAAUCCCAAGUGUUCUGUCGAGUAAUACAGAGCCCCUUAGGCAGGGGUCUCCAAACUCGGCCCUGGGUUAAGCUUCAACUUGCCUGCCUGGAAGUUUCUAGAAUGCCUGGUAAGACCUUGAUUAGCUGGUUCAGGUGUGUUUAAUUAGGGUUGGAGCUAAACUCUGCAGGACACUGGCCUUCCAGGGCCAAGUUUGGAGUCCCCUUCCCUAAAGCAACCCCUCAGGCCAUCGAAGGCCACUGUCCUGCAGAGUUUAGCCCCAACCCUAAUCAAAUACACCUGCCUUUACAUUUCAAGUAAACACUUUGGUUAGGGUUUUCAGUUUGUGGUUUGGUUUGGUUAGGGUUGGAGCUAAACUCUGUAGGCCAGAUUUGCCUACCAAUUUACUAAAGUGACAAGGAGAUGGAUAAGAUAGGAGAUUAGAGAUUUUUGGUUCCCCUGAUAAACUUCGAGGUCACUCAACAAAACUUUUGCACUUCCUUGAAAUUGAUUUUUGUGAGGGAAUGCAUAAGCAUUGAAAUGCAGUUUUUCCUCCAAUUUCAAUUUCAUUUUUUUUUUAUAAUAUCCCUUUAAGGUCUUUGCUGGGUUCUUUACAGUUCUGGUGGUGCUUUUACCUGGAGGAAAUAGAUGUGAUCAUCAGUAUGUGAAAGCUGCUCCACCUCGGACUGCUUUCUCUUCAACUUUGAGAUCUCCUGUUCCAGACCUUCCAAAUGUCCCUGAAUCCAGUUCAACUCUGUGGUCAUCUGACUUUGGACCAGCGUAAUCAUCUCAGUGUGGCUUCUCCGUAUAAAGCUGAGCAGUUCGGUGAAGAUCCUGUCACCUUCUUCCUCUGUGGCUUGAGUCAGGUUCUCAGCUGAGACCAUGUCAUGUCCUUUGUGGUUGGUGUCCAGCAUGCAGAGGCAGCAGAUACACUGGCGGUCAGUGCGGCAGUAAACCUCCAGGAGCUUAUGAUGUUGGGGGCACGUCUUUUUUUGGAGUUCUCCAGUGACGUCCACCAAGUCACACUCCACGUCCUCCGCUUGCUCCGUCUGAAGUCCUGUCCUCUCCAGUGCCUCUGCAACACAAGCAACAGAUUUGUCUGGAUCUGAUACAGAAGCAUCAGAAUCAUCCAGAUCUGCACUAAGAGCGUUGUAUUCUUCUGGAUCUGCAGCUGGAGCCUCAGAUUCUUCCAGAUCUGCAAAUGGAGCCCUGGUUUCACUCAUAUCUGCAGCUGGAGCCUCAGAUUCUUCCAGAUCUGUCUCACAUGAGGAAUUCUGUUUACACCGAGGGCAGCUGUUUUCCUGCAGGUCCUGGAGGCAAACCGAGCACACACAGCGUGAGUUCUGUUCAUCUGCCAUUUGCAUGGAGAACAAGGAGCUCGGUGUUAAAGGGACUCUACAAACAGUUUAGUUUCAUUUCUUUCUUUUCCUCGUGGGUGUUUGUGGGCGGGACUCUCUUAUGUGUGUGUGUGGCCACAGAUAAAGAGACAGAACUGAAGCUUGCUCUUACGUGCAACCUAAACAGAGAGACCAACGGUUGUUUGCCAAGUUGCUGUUGCUUUUUGUUAAGCAAAAUUAUACUAAACUAACAAGCUAAUGAAUUCAUAUUCUGAGUGUACAGGAGAGACACUACCAUCAUGCCUCUUGUCCUUUUGAAAGGACCAUUAUUGUGUAUUUGCACACAUAACAAAAGUGACAUGUACAUCUUAAAUUGUUGUGUUGUUUUGUUUUUGCUCUCUCACUGCAUUCUCUUGCAUUACGUGUGUUAGGUUAGGUUUAUAUAUGUGGGCAGAGCCCAGGUGCAGUGCAUUUGUCAAACAAAAAGUUGCAGAACUUGUCAAGAGGGACAACAAAACAGUAGGAAAAGCUUUUAAAUACCUUUAAUAAUUUGUAUGGGUCUACCCUUAAUUAUAAAGCCAAAGAUAUGAACUAAAAGAUUGUCCU
This is a long non-coding RNA of Cyprinus carpio (common carp), 2838 nucleotides long. RefSeq lists it as uncharacterized. NCBI's taxonomy places the organism in Eukaryota, Metazoa, Chordata, Actinopteri, Cypriniformes, Cyprinidae. The record is from RefSeq and is a predicted model, not a curated record. The transcript is spliced from 4 exons.